UAAUACGUAGGUGGCAAGCGUUGUCCGGAUUUAUUGGGUUUAAAGGGUGCGUAGGCGGUCUUUUAAGUCAGUGCUGAAAUACUCCAGCUUAACUGGAGGGGUGGCAUUGAUACUGGAAGACUUGAGUGUAGUCGAGGUAGGCGGAAUUGACGGUGUAGCGGUGAAAUGCUUAGAUAUCGUCAAGAACACCGAUAGUGAAGACAGCUUACUAGGCUACAACUGACGCUGAGGCACGAAAGUGUGGGGAUCAAACAGGAUUAGAUACCCUGGUAGUCCACACUGUAAACGUUGAUUACUCGAUGUUGGCGAUAUACCGUCAGCGUCUUAGCGCAAGCGAUAAGUAAUCCACCUGGGGAGUACGCCGGCAACGGUG
RNAcentral lists this ribosomal RNA (373 nucleotides) under uncultured bacterium. Its description in RNAcentral is "bacterial SSU rRNA". It matches the Rfam family "Bacterial small subunit ribosomal RNA", at positions 521 to 896 of the family's 1533-position model. The record is from RNAcentral.